Molecule: ribosomal RNA, 744 nt
Filed under: uncultured bacterium
Lineage: Bacteria
Description: SSU rRNA
Rfam family: Bacterial small subunit ribosomal RNA
Source: RNAcentral
AUAUGUGUCAGAUGUAAAAGGCUAAGGCUUAACCAUAGUUAGCAUUUGAAACUGUAUUACUUGAGUGCAGGAGAGGUAAGUGGAAUUCCUAGUGUAGCGGUGAAAUGCGUAGAUAUUAGGAGGAACACCAGUGGCGAAGGCGACUUACUGGACUGUAACUGACGCUGAGUCACGAAAGCGUGGGUAGCAAACAGGAUUAGAUACCCUGGUAGUCCACGCUGUAAACGAUGAGUGCUAGGUGUUGGGUAGCGAUAUUCAGUGCCGAAGUUAACACAAUAAGCACUCCGCCUGGGGAGUACGGUCGCAAGACUGAAACUCAAAGGAAUUGACGGGGACCCGCACAAGCAGCGGAGCAUGUGGUUUAAUUCGAAGCAACGCGAAGAACCUUACCAAGGCUUGACAUCCCCUUGACCAGUGCAGAGAUGUACUCUCUCCUUCGGGAGCAAGGGAGACAGGUGGUGCAUGGUUGUCGUCAGCUCGUGUCGUGAGAUGUUGGGUUAAGUCCCGCAACGAGCGCAACCCGUUAUCAUUACGUUGCCAGCAUUUAAGGUGGGCACUCUAAUGAGACUGCCGAUGAUAAACUCGGAGGUAAGGUGGGGAUGACGUCAAAUCAUCAUGCCCCUUAUGUCUUGGGCUACACCAGUGCUACAUGGUCGGUACAAGGGUAAGCGAAGGUAGUGAUUCGGAGCAAACUCCGUAAUAAACCGGUAUACUCAGUUCGGAUUGUAGGCUGCAACUCGCUAC